RNAcentral lists this ribosomal RNA (490 nucleotides) under uncultured bacterium. RNAcentral's name for it is "partial 16S ribosomal RNA". It matches the Rfam family "Bacterial small subunit ribosomal RNA", at positions 30 to 507 of the family's 1533-position model. The record is from RNAcentral.
AUUGAACGCUGGCGGCAGGCCUAACACAUGCAAGUCGAACGGUAACAGGAAGAAGCUUGCUUCUUUGCUGACGAGUGGCGGACGGGUGAGUAAUGUCUGGGAAACUGCCUGAUGGAGGGGGAUAACUACUGGAAACGGUAGCUAAUACCGCAUAACGUCGCAAGACCAAAGAGGGGGACCUUCGGGCCUCUUGCCAUCGGAUGUGCCCAGAUGGGAUUAGCUAGUAGGGGGGGUAACGGCUCACCUAGGCGACGAUCCCUAGCUGGUCUGAGAGGAUGAGCAGCCACCCUGGAACUGAGACACGGUCCAGGCUCCUACGGGAGGCAGCAGUGGGGAAUAUUGCACAAUGGGCGCAAGCCUGAUGCAGCCAUGCCGCGUGUAUGAAGAAGGCCUUCGGGUUGUAAAGUACUUUCAGCGGGGAGGAAGGGAGUAAAGUUAAUACCUUUGCUCAUUGACGUUACCCGCAGAAGAAGCACCGGCUAACUCCGUG